Long non-coding RNA from Daphnia pulex (common water flea), 502 nucleotides. RefSeq lists it as uncharacterized. The transcript has 2 exons. Lineage: Eukaryota; Metazoa; Arthropoda; Branchiopoda; Diplostraca; Daphniidae. The record is from RefSeq and is a predicted model, not a curated record.
UAAAAUGAGAUAUACGACUCUUUGUGUUUACAUUUAAUCCCUCUGAAUAAGAAGAUAAGUUUACGAUUAAAAAUUUCAAUUUUGAACGUCAGUCUAUUAUUUUAAUCUGAUAUUAUUUGUUUAUAGCUACUAUUGCCAGGCCAGUUUGCGGCAGUUUUUUUUUUUUUUUUUUUAAUUCUAAAUGAUCCUGCAAAAAAUCCUCAUUUCAAAGCUGGAUCCUGACGCAUUAUCACGGAUGUAUUUUUUUUAAUUUGGUCUUUUAACCCAAAUAUAUCCUAUAAUUUUUGUAGUGUGCUGGAUGGGGGACGUAGCUGUAGCAUUUUUCAUCACUCUCUUCGACGCCUCCUGUGAUGUUUCCAGCAGUAUACCAGCGGGGAAGCCAAAACGGAACAACAAGAAAAUAGUUUCUUAAAAGUACAAAGUUAUUUACAAAGGCCGUCUGUAAUACCCAAGUGUGUGAGAAAACAGGGGAAAUAAAUCGACGGCUGUUUUGUUAUAUUUA